ACAAACUUGGUCAUUUAGAGGAAGUAAAAGUCGUAACAAGGUCUCCGUUGGUGAACCAGCGGAGGGAUCAUUAGAGUGCUAUAAAACUCAAAACCCUUCUGUGAAUCUACCUGAAAGUUGCUUCGGCAAAGGCCCACGGGGGGCCACAGCUUAUACAGGUUGCUGUAAAGUUGUCUGGGGACGUGCCUGCUAUAAGGGUGUAACCUAGUUGCCGAAGAACGCAAAUAACAAACGCUGUAACAAUUGUAGUCUGAGACAAUAGAAAACUAUUGAAAACUUUCAACAACGGAUCUCUUGGUUCUGGCAUCGAUGAAGAACGCAGC
Molecule: unclassified non-coding RNA, 323 nt
Filed under: uncultured fungus
Lineage: Eukaryota; Fungi
Description: partial contains small subunit ribosomal RNA, internal transcribed spacer 1, and 5.8S ribosomal RNA
Rfam family: Eukaryotic small subunit ribosomal RNA (bases 1-73)
Source: RNAcentral